Molecule: long non-coding RNA, 165 nt
Organism: Camelina sativa (false flax)
Lineage: Eukaryota; Viridiplantae; Streptophyta; Magnoliopsida; Brassicales; Brassicaceae
Source: RefSeq, a predicted model, not a curated record
UUAGGAGAAAAAGCUAAAGCAAGAUAUGAAAAGAUCAGAUUCAAAAUCGUUGAUUUGGAUGAUUACGCUGCUGAUGAUGAUGAGUAUGAGGCGAAGUUGUUUACAAGGGAAUGACAGAGGAGAAUAGCUUACAAACUUGAAGUAUGGAGUGUUUGGAUUAGGAAA